RNAcentral lists this RNase P RNA (306 nucleotides) under Methanomicrobiales archaeon. RNAcentral describes it as "RNase P RNA component". It matches the Rfam family "Archaeal RNase P". From Rfam's summary of the family: Ribonuclease P (RNase P) is a ubiquitous endoribonuclease, found in archaea, bacteria and eukarya as well as chloroplasts and mitochondria. Its best characterised activity is the generation of mature 5'-ends of tRNAs by cleaving the 5'-leader elements of precursor-tRNAs. Cellular RNase Ps are ribonucleoproteins. Lineage: Archaea; Methanobacteriati; Methanobacteriota; Methanomicrobia; Methanomicrobiales. The record is from RNAcentral.
GAGAGGGAGAGUGCGGCUGACGGUGGCCGGGAGACCGGCCGCUGAGGAAAGUCCCCCCACCACCUGGGCACGCAGCCAUACGCAAGUAUGGGUGGCGAGAGUCACGGCACUGGCACAGAAACGACAGCGAGACGUGCGGCAACGCACAAGAUAACCCGCUGAGCCGACGGGCAGGAUGCGAUGAAACGGCGAAUCCCUGCGGGUGCAAGCCAGAACAGGGUAUUGUGGCUGCUCAGGCACGACUACCCGGGUAUGGCGCCAAGCUGAAUGCCGCACCGAACAGAAGGGGGCUUACUCCUCCCACUC